RNAcentral lists this ribosomal RNA (262 nucleotides) under uncultured bacterium. RNAcentral describes it as "partial 16S ribosomal RNA". It matches the Rfam family "Bacterial small subunit ribosomal RNA", at positions 92 to 354 of the family's 1533-position model. The record is from RNAcentral.
CGACCGGCGCACGGGUGAGUAACACGUAUGGAACCUGCCCGCAGCAGGGGGAUAAGCGGAAGAAAUUCCGUCUAAUACCGCGUAACAACGUUGGGAGGCAUCUCCCGAUGUUUAAAGAUUUAUCGGCUGCGGAUGGCCAUGCGGCGCAUUAGCUAGUCGGCGGGGUAACGGCCCACCGAGGCGACGAUGCGUAGGGGUGCUGAGAGGAAGGUCACCCACACUGGUACUGAGACACGGACCAGACUCCUACGGGAGGCAGCAG